GCGGACAUGGCGGAAUUGGCAGACGCAUAAGACUAAGGAUCUUAUGAAGCUACUUCGUGCAGGUUCAAGUCCUGUUGUCCGCACCA
Molecule: transfer RNA, 86 nt
Filed under: Clostridia bacterium
Lineage: Bacteria; Bacillati; Bacillota; Clostridia
Description: tRNA-Leu
Rfam family: tRNA
About the family: Transfer RNA (tRNA) molecules are approximately 80 nucleotides in length. Their secondary structure includes four short double-helical elements and three loops (D, anti-codon, and T loops).
Source: RNAcentral